AUGGGUUCUGCAACUUUGCUGCUUCUGCAGCUGAGAUCAAUUCUGAGGACUGUACUCCUGGAGCCUCCUCAUCCGUCUAUGUCAACUGUGAAUUUCAACACUACCAAGGUCUGCAACCAGAGCUUUUCUUCAAGAUGUCCCAUGAAAUCUACAAUUAUGGUGAAGGGUAAGUUUACAAAAAAAAAAAAAACGGAAAAUGAAAAAAGUAAGAACGCAGACAAUUUGAUGAUCUCUCUCUACAGUAAUCCUAGCUCGCUUUAUAUUCUUUGGUGAUCGAUUUUAAGUUUAUAAAGCAAAUUAACUCAAGUUGAUUUUGGUUCGAUGGGAAGCAGAUUGAUAGGAAAAGUGGCUGCAGAUCACAGUCACAAAUGGAUAUAUAAAGAGCCAAACGACCAGGAAAUCAAUUUCUUGUCAGCAUGGCAUAACUCUGCAGACUCAGUAAGCAUAUUCACACACAUAUACGCAUAUAUAUUCCAUGUACACUUCUGAUGGCUUAUUAGAAGGUUGUGAUUUCAUGCUGCUCCCUUCUUACGGCAGAAAUAUAUGUGAUUCUAAUUACUAAAUAUGAUCUUUUACAGCAUCCGAGGACAUGGGAAGCCCAGUUCCAGUCCGGUAUUAAGGUAUAAUAUGACAACAGCUAUAAUAUAGUUUAAAGAUCAUAUAUAUGUAUAUCUAUCUACAUAGAUCUACUUGUUUUGAUCAGAAAAAUAUUUUUGCAGACUAUUGCCCUGAUUGCAGUUCGAGAAGGUGUCGUCCAGUUAGGAGCUGUUCACAAGGUCAUCUCUCUUUCUAGUUUUCUGAUCUAUCUCCCUUCAAGAAGCUUUCUAUAAGUAGAAAUUUAUAUAUUCAUAGAUUAAAUUAGGUAAUACAUACGCAACAAUCAUAAGACAAUAAAAAAUAAAACAAUCUUUAAAUAAAUAAGAACAGACAGAAGCUUAAUUCGACUUGAACUCUUUAAUCUAUUUUCUUUUUUUUUUUUUUUUACACUUACACUAAAAAUGAUAAAUUUGUUUCGAUUGGAACCUGAAGGUAAUUGAAGACCUGAGCUAUGUUGUUCUACUAAGGAAGAAAUUCAGCUACAUAGAGAGUAUACCAGGUGUGCUGUUGCCACACCCCUCAUCUUCUGCAUAUCCUUUCAAUGGCGGAGUACCAGACGCAUGGCACUUCCCCGCCACCUACGACCACUUCAACCAGCCCAUGAAGAUAAC
This 1208-nucleotide long non-coding RNA is filed under the name Carica papaya (papaya). RNAcentral describes it as "long non-coding RNA (CPAP_LNC003964)". Lineage: Eukaryota; Viridiplantae; Streptophyta; Magnoliopsida; Brassicales; Caricaceae. The record is from RNAcentral.